RNAcentral lists this ribosomal RNA (497 nucleotides) under uncultured bacterium. RNAcentral's name for it is "partial 16S ribosomal RNA". It matches the Rfam family "Bacterial small subunit ribosomal RNA", at positions 28 to 507 of the family's 1533-position model. The record is from RNAcentral.
GAUGAACGCUGGCGGCGUGCCUAAUACAUGCAAGUCGAGCGAACAGACGAGGAGCUUGCUCCGCUGACGGUAGCGGCGGACGGGUGAGUAACACGUGGAUAACCUAGCUAUAAGACUGGGAUAACUUCGGGAAACCGGAGCUAAUACCGGAUGAUAUAUUGAACCGCAAUGUGCAAUAGUGAAAGACGGUUUUGCUGGCAGUUAUAGAUGGAUCCGCGCCGCAUUAGCUAGUUGGUAAGGUAACGGCUUACCAAGGCUACGAUGCUUAGCCGCCCUGAGAGCGUGAACGGACACACUGGAACUGAGACACGGUCCAGACUCCGACGGGAGGCAGCAGUAGGGAAUCUUACGCAAUGGGCGAAAGCCUGACGGAGCAACGCCGCGUGAGUGAUGAAGGUCUCCGGAUCGUAAAACUCUGUUAUUAGGGAAGAACAAAUGUGUAAGUAGCUAUGAACGUAUUGACGGUACCUACACAGAAAGCCACGGCUAACUACGUG